Molecule: long non-coding RNA, 421 nt
Organism: Talpa occidentalis (Iberian mole)
Lineage: Eukaryota; Metazoa; Chordata; Mammalia; Eulipotyphla; Talpidae
Exons: 3
Source: RefSeq, a predicted model, not a curated record
AGUCUGAAUUCCACCCUGACAAUGCUGGGUAUUCUCGGAUAGACUGGGGUGAGCCAUUGUCAUCUGGGGAAUUAGACAGCCAGUUGUUCCAGGUUCUCCUUCUUAAGUCAAUCAUACAUUGUACAAGGACCCACCAAUUGUUAUAUUCACAGAAAAAUUGAAGAUAUUUCUAAAUGCAAAGCUUAACUGAAAUUCCGAUUUAGCUUGGCUUGGUGUUUAAGAUGAGCAUCAUCUUCAAACCAAACUUCAAGAAUCCAAGUCCAGAUGAAUGAAAGUGUAUGAAGAAGCUCUUCCUUUCCUCUUGUUUACUCCUGCACUGAAUCCCUCUGACUCUUGCCACCACAUCAACCCUAAAAUUAUUUUUGCAAAAUUGUCUAGUUUUGUGAUUUAAGGAAUGCUUGCCUCAUAAAUUGACCUAAUA